This 798-nucleotide ribosomal RNA is filed under the name uncultured bacterium. RNAcentral's name for it is "bacterial SSU rRNA". It matches the Rfam family "Bacterial small subunit ribosomal RNA", at positions 265 to 1045 of the family's 1533-position model. The record is from RNAcentral.
CUACCAAGGCAAUGAUACGUAGCCGAGUUGAGAGACUGAUCCGCCCACAAUGGGACUGAGACACGGCCCAUACUCCUACGGGAGGCAGCAGUAGGGAAUCUUCCACAAUGGGCGCAAGCCUGAUGGAGCAACGCCGCGUGCGUGAAGAAGGUCUUCGGAUCGUAAAGCGCUGUUGUUAGAGAAGAACACGGAUAAGAGUAACUGUUUAUGCGUUGACGGUAUCUAACCAGAAAGUCACGGCUAACUACGUGCCAGCAGCCGCGGUAAUACGUAGGUGGCAAGCGUUGUCCGGAUUUAUUGGGCGUAAAGGGAACGCAGGCUGUUUUUUAAGUCCGAUGUGAAAGCCUUCGGCUUAACCGAAGAAGUGCAUUGGAAACUGGGAGACUUGAGUGCAGAAGAGGAGAGUGGAACUCCAUGUGUAGCGGUGAAAUGCGUAGAUAUGUGGAAGAACACCAGUGGCGAAAGCGGCUCUCUGGUCUGUAACUGACGCUGAGGUUCGAAAGCAUGGGUAGCGAACAGGAUUAGAUACCCUGGUAGUCCAUGCCGUAAACGAUGAGUGCUAAGUGUUGGAGGGUUUCCCGCCCUUCCAGUGCUGCAGCUAACGCAAUAAGCACUCCCGCCUGGGGAGUACGACCGCCAAGGUUGAAACUCCAAAGGAAUUGACCGGGGGCCCGCACAAGCGGUGGAGCAUGUGGUUUAAUUCGAAGCUACGCGAAGAACCUUACCAGGUCCUUGACAUCCUUUCCGCCAACCUAAGAGAUUAGGCGUUCCUUCGGGGACGGAAUAACAGGUGGUGCU